GAUGAAGAACGCAGCGAAAUGCGAUAAGUAGUGUGAAUUGCGGAAUUCAGUGAAUCAUCGAAUCUUUGAACGCACAUUGCGCCCCUCGGUAUUCCGUGGGGCAUGCCUGUUCGAGCGUCAUUUACCCCUCAAGCACUGCUUGGUGUUGGGCGUCUGUCCCGCUUCGCGCGCGGACUCGCCCCAAAGGUAUUGGCAGCGGUCGUGCCAGCUUCUCGCGCAGCACAUUGCGCUUCUCGAGGCGGUCGAUCGGCGUCCACGAAGCUCACCUCCACCGUUUGACCUCGGAUCAGGUAGGGAUACCCGCUGAACUUAAGCAUAUCAAUAAGCGGAGGA
RNAcentral lists this unclassified non-coding RNA (333 nucleotides) under soil metagenome. RNAcentral's name for it is "partial contains 5.8S ribosomal RNA, internal transcribed spacer 2, and large subunit ribosomal RNA". The stretch from base 1 to 120 matches the Rfam family "5.8S ribosomal RNA", at positions 35 to 154 of the family's 154-position model. The record is from RNAcentral.